GGCGAGCUGGACCCUAACUCGGCAACGCAGGGUGCAGGGCCGUAAGGGGAGGGAACACACCCAGGGCGGGAUGCCAGUCUGCCGCAAAGCACCCCAGGCAGGACUUGAGCCCCAGACCCACCGGAGAGCAGGCCCUAGCCAAGCCCGCUGCGCCAUCGAGCCCCCUGCCACAGAAAUCCGUAAUUACAAACCUGGGACUUUCAGUGCAAGAUGUGCUCCUUCACAAGGUUGCCGGACCUGUCAAUUCUCUGUUAGGGCCCUGCGAGCCAAUGUUAUUGGCACUGAACCACAGGACUGUCCUUCCCAGCAGCAACGACCAGGAAGUACGAGUCAGAAUUGGCCACAGAUUAGGGUGCACGGCCCUUUUAAACACAUCUCCCAUUGCGAAAGACACUCCCGUAUAUUUGCGUAUAAAUAGACUGAGAAGGUACCUUUCUUUGAGCAAGACUUUCCACAGACAUUUAAAGUCUAGGUUCUGUUAUGCUGCAGAUCACCCCCUUCCAAGGAACACGAUACAUGACUGUAACAGUACCUGAUCCUGUGAAACUAUUUCACGACUGCCACAAAUGCUUCACACAUACUGAACAGAGGUGAACCCAUGUGCCCCAUCCAGCCCUUACCUACUAAUGCUGCCAAGGUUUUUCCAUAGGACACCUGAUACGCCCCUGGUAAAGCGAAGAGGAAUUAAAGAGAAAGAAAUGUGCAAAAUGAAGGGCUGUUUCUGACCCUUGCCUUACAUUUCUCACCAUCCUGCAUCACAUGUCACACUCCCAACUUAAAUCAAUGCUCUGUUGUUACAGUCGAUAUACCAUGUUUCAACUUGCAUACUGGCAAUAUCUCACAAACUUUGUAGAACACCAAGAUCUGAAUCUAGCAAAUAUGUAAAUAGUCCCAUAGUGAGAAGACUGUAGGUACAGGUCACUGACUCACUGCUUAGUCAUAGAAGUGGUUAAUAGUGUGUGGAAAGUAUUAAAAGCAGACAUAGGCAACGUGCACUUCACUGCCAUGGUCCUGAGGAAUAGCUUCUUCAUUGCAAUUCAUGUACUCAGCUUCCACUGUGAACUGCGCACUUCACGAACUGUUUAUGUUUCUUUUCUGCAAUGGACUGAUUUAUUUCUUUUCAGUGUUAAUGGAUUCCCACCAUACCCUCAUGUAUUUCUGUGGCUUCAAACUAAAGCACCUGCAGUGUACCCAUAAUGAAACAAAAUUUAUUUCAAGUCACAAGCAAUAGGAGGACUCAAUAAUGCUUGCUGAAGAGGCCUUAAAGUCCAACAAAAGGACUGUUGCUGGGAAUAUGGCAGCAUACUCCAUAUUCCAUGUGAUCACCUACUUUGGAUAAAUGCUGUACACUCAUUGUUCUCCAUUUUCAUUCAAAAAGACUUUGUACACUACCUUUGGCACGGCUUGACUGGACCGGAUCCUUAUCAAACAGUGAUAAGCCAGACUUUGUGUAGCUCUUGGAGCCGUCUGGAAGAAAAAGAAAAAAAAAAGCUUAGCUAGAAUAGGUGACAGAUUGAAAUGAUUUGUGAGAAACUUUUCAUGGUUUCUCUUUGUAAACCCACUCACCUGCCAGCCAACCUGCCCCCGCCGCCUCCCCCCACCCCCCCAAUCCCCCAUAGCCCACACCCUUCAGAUGAAAUUUCACCCCACACAGUGUAAGGGUGUCAUUAUAAAGCUAUAUGCAUGCGAAAACCCUGAACCUCCAAGCAGUCUGAAAAGCAGGAGAUACUUGCCAUGGUGCCAUAUCAAUAGAGGGAAACAAAUGCCCAGACACUUCUGGAGAGGCCCAUACCUUCCCAGGAUAACACAUAGGAACAGGGGAAUUGUCCAUAGUAAAAAUAAUGUCCUUGUGCAGUGAUGUCUCCAGCAUAUUUAAUUUAAAUAAAAAAUUAUUUACAGCACA
Molecule: long non-coding RNA, 1903 nt
Organism: Scleropages formosus (Asian bonytongue)
Lineage: Eukaryota; Metazoa; Chordata; Actinopteri; Osteoglossiformes; Osteoglossidae
Source: Ensembl